CCGCAGCGGCGCGUUUGCCACAGAGCACGCAGGGGUGGGUGCCACUGAUGCAACGAGCGCUUGACUUUCCUAUCGAGUCGGUCACCUUCCCGUCUCAUUUCUACCUCCUCACCGUCAACAAAGGCACCGUCUCAACUGUCGGCUUCUCACCGCAAAAAGCGCCAGUGCAGCUGACGGCGCCGCGCCAGUGUGCCGUGCUCGUGCUGCUAUCCCCCGCAGCGACGGAGAACGGCUUUCAGGAUAUGUGCAUCACGCUCACGAAGCGCACUGCGACGAUGGGCUCACACAAGAGCGAAAUGAGCUUCCCGGGUGGCCACGUCGAUGCCGACGAGACGCUACGCAACGCAGCACAGCGUGAGACGCUGGAGGAGGUGGGCCUCCCGCCAUCCGAGUACAAAAUUAUCGGGUCUCUGACGCCGAUUACCACGAGAGCACUAGACGCGCGUGUGACGCCGUUUGUGGCUGUCGCGACUAGCCCUGUGCAGCCAUACCGCGCGAGCCCCGCCGAGGUCGAUUCCAUUCACUACCUUCACAUGUCGACGCUGCUGUUGAGAGCGUCGACGGGGCACGCGCGGGUCAUCAAGUACCGCUCCUUCACGAGCGAUCGACCGUGCUUCUUUCCCUGCUUCUUUGCCAGCCCUGCUCAGACGGUCGUCUCCUCUGCGGUUUGUCGGUCUCCUAAGGCGACUGGGGUGGCGGAUGACUGCGGCUUCGAUCCGAUGCUGCCCGAGGACUUCCCGGGUGAGCUGGUCUGGGGCCUUACUUCCUUCGUGACUUGUGAACUCGUGGCUCGCGUCGCCAAGGCCAUCAUGGACGCGCCGGAAGCGAGCUCGGCAGCGGCGGUGAACGCACUCCUGACGCCUUCGAACGUGGUAGCGCGCGACCCUCUCGCGGACUCGCCGCAAUGAUCGGAGUUCUCCACUCAGCUCAUACUGGACUCCGCCAACUGAACGCCGGGGCCUGCGCGGUAAUUGUACGCGAAUCGUGGACACGGGCCUCUUGUCCGCUAUGUGUGUGCGCGUGGCUCCCGAUUUUUGGUUGUCUUCUUCGUGUUCUUUUCCUGGCACUUGUGUCUCUCUUUCUCUUUCUCUGUGCUGGCCUGCCGAGGAUCCCCUCACCAGAGCGGCAGAACCCGGCGGGAAAGCGAUGGCGGUGAUGGACGCCGCAAGACGGGAGGGGACGAAAGGGCAGAAGGACUGGACCUCAGUGUCGACACAUGGACAAUGAAACAGAAGCAACCGAAGCGGCAUGGCACCUACUUCAAGAAAUCCGCACCCUUCACAUGUCUCUGACGGGCAUGGAAGGACUAGUUCGU
This 1315-nucleotide unclassified non-coding RNA is filed under the name Leishmania donovani. Its description in RNAcentral is "gene:LdHU3.36.0440(CDS-product:Mutt-Nudix-related _hydrolase_5_putative)". Lineage: Eukaryota; Euglenozoa; Kinetoplastea; Trypanosomatida; Trypanosomatidae. The record is from RNAcentral.